Molecule: long non-coding RNA, 8800 nt
Organism: Anastrepha ludens (Mexican fruit fly)
Lineage: Eukaryota; Metazoa; Arthropoda; Insecta; Diptera; Tephritidae
Exons: 2
Source: RefSeq, a predicted model, not a curated record
GAAACGCACUUAACUCUCUAACAUUUUGAUACAUUUGAAAAAAAUGUGUUUGUUGCCAUGAAUGGAGGCAUCUCUUCAUGCUCGCAAAUAAUGGUCGCUCCGGAGUUAAAUAGACCCCAAAUGUGGUGUAAGCUUUGAAUAUAUUGAUUUGACGUUUAUUUGUGUAAAUUUUAUUAUGAAAUGAAAAUUAUUCUCUUGAUGUUCUUGAAAGCACUUACACUUACUUUAGAAAUAUUUGUUGCACAACAAACUUCAAUGUCGCAUUGCAACUUGUUGCGUUGCUAAGGCAACAAGUGGUCGUUGAUUACUUUUAUGUUGCGGCUCGAACGCGGCCGGUGAACAUGUUGGAUGUUGUGUUUUGUUUGAUUUACUUGAAGUGCUUGGAAAUAAUUAAGUACACUGUGGGAAGAUAAGUUGCUGACAACAAAAAAAAAAAAUGAAAUUAAUUGCGGGAAGAUAAGUUUCUGACAACACAAAAAAAAAAAAAUUAAUUGCGCUCGAUUGUGAACCAAAGGCAUUUAUUUUAUAAUAAUAUAAUAAAUUUAUGUAAUAAUUUGGUACGCAUUUGGCUCAGAAAAAUACAUGGUUUUAAAUCUUUUUCAUCACUGAAUUUAAAUUAAUAAAUCUAAUUUAUUAUAAUAAAAAAUUUAUUAUCAUAAUUUCACAACCGAGCGCAAUUAAUUUUAUAAUGUUUUUUCGUUGUCGUCACGUUAUUGUGAAUAUUGUGGCAAAUAAAUUUUUGCUAAAAAAAAAGCAGUUUGUUAGGGGGCCCGUAAAAAUGGACGCUUGUCAUAAUUUUUUUCAAAUAUGUUUUAGAACUUUUAUUCAAAUGUGGCAUAUAUCAUACUGAAGGGUAACUCUCGAAGAAUACAUUUUGGUGUUUUUAUUUUAAAAAAUGUUAUUAUUUAUUGUUGAUAGCGCCCCUCCCCCGAAACGCCGCUUUUUAGAAGAGGUUUGCGGUGAUCACGGUAGCGCAUGAGCAGCUCAACUGAAAUCAAAAAAAUUAAAUGAAUAUUGUAGAAAAAUGUUGUUUAGUGAAUCUGAACGGUUUAUUUACCAAAAAAAAAAACAAAUUAUCGAUAUGAAAACCGCUUUGCACCAAAAAAACCAUUUUUGAGGGGUUGAGAAAUUAAAAAAGGAAUUAGUUCCAGUGAACUAUGCAAAUAUUUAUAAAAAGUGAUCCGUUCAGAUUUACGAGGUUGCCACUUCAAAUAAUUAAAAAAAAGUGUAUGCAAAUCGGUCAAAUAGUUUUUGAUAAAUAAUUAUCACCGCGACGGUAAUUUUCAAAAAACACGACUUCGAGAUAAUCGCGUCUAAAGUUUUGCGUGCACUUCUCGUUCCAAGAAAGGUCGCGCGCUUCCAAGGUCUGUAACUUUCGUUCUAGUGCUCUGAUAUUUAUGAUUUUUUGAAUUUAUAUUUUUAAGAUGAUGUUCUUUUAGAAUAUGCCAUAAAACAAUUUUCGAUGUUUUAGUCCAACACAAGCUAUAUAACCCCUUAAGAAAAUAUUUGAAAAAUGAAAAAUGUUGUAAAAAUCAUUUGAACAGCUUAUUUUCGCAUACACCGGCUAAUGCACAGUUUAUUAGUGCAAGAACUUACAAUAAAUAUUAGUUUUCAUCCCGCAAUGAAUAUUUACUUUAAAUAAAAAAAAUUCUGAAUUAUGUCAUUUUCCAGCAAGCAAAAAAAUUUGACUUUAGAACUAACCAGAGAGUAGUGACACGAUUCAGCAAGCAAUCAGCGCUAAAGUGCCAGUAAUGGGCAAACAAAUGAACUAAUAAGCCAAUAGACAGACAAAUAAAACACAUAAAUUUAUAUAAUAAAACUGCGUGACCGUCACACAGCACAUUUUGUAGACCUAAUCGAGUAAUAAAAAGCUCUAUACUCAAAAUCCUCAGAGAACCUCAAAAAACUGUUUUUUUUUUCUACCCUAAUGCCUGAUUUUGAGGGUAUAUUUUAGAUUUAGAAUAGUUAAAAUUUCGUAUACAGCAAAAUUCCUCAGUGCUUAUUACCGUGCAGGUUCGUGUUCACAGAUUUAUUAUUAAGUUUUGCAUGCAAAUAUCAUUGCAAUAUCCGCACUAUCCAAAAACCAGAGGCGGACGUUAUGUGUCAAUCAGUAUUGAUAAAAAUAAUCUCGCAUAAACUGGCAAAAAUCCACACAAAAAAACAAAAAAAAAACAAAAAACAAGUAAUCUUUGUUGCAACAUUUUGCGCACCCACCACAUAAAGUUUUUAUGUAAACUUACUUCCUACUUAUAUUAAAAUUGACACUUCAAGCUCAGCCUCAGUGCUGUCUUGGGAUAAAGACAAUACCACAUUUGCUUUUUGUCAUAAAAGCACGGAUGAUUUUCCUCUAAGUCAAUUCAAUUUUCGUCGUUCAUUUUUAAUAUUCAAAUUUUUUAUUGCCGAUAUCAAAACAAAUGUAAAGUAUUUCACAGCUGCCUAUGGUUACGGCGGAAAACCAAAAUUCAAUAGAUGCAUACGACUUUGGAGCUAUGGUGCGGCACCUAUAAUCGUUUACAGUGAUGCUCAUAUUUUUUAUCAGAUCAGCUGAUUGCUACGGUUACGGUUAUGACUACGAUACGACACCACUAAUUGCAACUUUAUUCGCGGUCACUCGAACAAAAUAGUUUUCGGCAACAUUCGUUGCUUUUGACGUUUUCUUCUUAAAGUUUGACGAUGCGAAUAAGAAGCACAAAGCUUGUCGCCAGUGUGGGAAACGUAAGCGAGCCUCUCUUCGCCGUUCGCCCCCUUUUCUCAUGAUGUCAAAUGUCAAAAUAUUUACCUUCCAAAAAUUAUAAUUUUUCUAAACUUAUUUUGUAAAUGAUUUCGAAGUGUACUGCUUGGCAACACUGUGUGGUAAGAGAGCAAUCAGCUGACAGGGUUCUACGGAAAUUUUCAAAAAUCGUGAAAAUCGUGAAGGAAUUUUUCAUUUACAUGGGGUUCUCAUUAGUGUGAUCAUAACAGCUGACAGGGGACUGCGUUUACGUCGGUCAUUGUUUUCAGCAUUAGUCGUGGUGGUGCUGAAGAAUGUAUCGAUUUCUUUCGUUUUUAUUAAUUUUUAUUUUGGAAUUCUGUAACACACAACUGGAUUCAUCGAAAAUCAGCGACCUCUUUUUAUUUUUGAAUUGGCGAACUGUAUAUCGACGAACGUUGAUUAUUUGAUUAUAAAAAAAUACAAUGCAACAAAAAAUGCUACAUUCCAAAGUUAGAUGCCAACAAUUUAACUUAUAAUUACUAUUCGCACCACGACAACGAACAUGUUUGAGUGCAAUCGGCUCGACAAAAACAGGCAAAGCGAGCCGCUCAAACGUUGACGGGGGCUCGUUGCUUUGCCGCAGCUGCUUAGAGCGAUACGUUUGAUUUGGAAAUUUAUUCCACUACAAACAGCGUUUGUGAAAUGUUGUGUGAAAAGAAGUAAACGGAAGGAUUUUUCUUCAAAAGAAACUUAAGUAACUUACCAAGAAAACAAUAAAUAGUGGAAGAAAAACCGUGUGUCUAGUAAUAGAAAAUAAAAAAUAUAAAUAAAAUACUUUGUUUAAGUGAAAAAGAGAAGUGUUGAAAAUAAUGACAGAUACAACAAAAUAAGUGCAAGAAAUUCGCAAAGCAGCGAGUGCAAAGGCGCUAGAAAUGUGCAGGAAUACCAAAGUUGCAAAAAAUGCCAAACAAAAAAAUAAAGAAAAUAGUAACAAGAAGAAUACGUGCAAAUGCCAUUGCAAGUGGCACCCACUGCAUAGAAACCUUUGAUGAGCAAAAAUAAUAAUAAAGAAAAGAAGACAUUGCGGCUGGUUUCCCACUGUUUGAUCGAUAACAGCAUUUAAAGGCAUUUCACUUGCGUCCAAUGUAUGGUAAUGAGUGAAAAUAUUUACGGAAGCAGCAAGAAAAUGAAUUGAAAUGUUGUUACACGAAAUUUGAACUAUGUGAAGUGACAUUUAAAUAAAAUUACACACACAAAUAUGUAAAUAAAUUUGUGUCUUAAAGCUGCAUUGGCUAUGUGAAAGAAAGAGAGAGAGUGAAUAGCACGAACAACAACAAGCAAACUAAAAAGAAAUUAUUAAAAGAAAAAAAUUAUUUCUCGAAUUGUUGAAUUAUGCAAAACGAAAAACAAAUCUCGCUACUAAACCCAAAAGGCAAACAGGCCGUGCGGUCCGGUCCGUGCCGGGAAAACGUUUAAAAAAUACUUUUUUAUGCAAUGUGCAACAAGCAAGAGGAAUGCAUGCAGCAGCAUAAUCGUUAUAAUUGCAGUUGAUGAAUGGAUAGUAAAAAAACAAAAAUAAAAAUAAAAUUCAAGCGCAACAAGUGGCACAAUUGUGUGGCGUGCAUUUAGAGCGCGGCAGGCAGUGAAUAAAACGAGUGUAUGCAGCGCCAUUAAAGCGACUAAACCACAAUAACAACACUGCAUCGCUGCCCGCAGUAAUUGACCAUUACAAAGAAAGGAAUAAACCAGCAAAAAAAAGCCACUGAUUUGAUAACAAACCAACCAUAAGGAUUGUCAGCGAAGCUAAAGCUAAUAUGUUUUUAUGUGUGAAUAAGUGUCAUUGCAUCUGCAUACUCGUACAUAUCUAUAUUUGCAUACUUCCGUUGGCAAGACUUUUCCUAAUGUGUGCUAAUCGCAUCAUCAAUCGAAUGUGCGACCACCGCAAACUCACAACUACAUAGUAAAAAAAGCUUUUGUGAAAUAAAAAACGAAAAUUAUAAUAAAUUAUUAAAAUUAUAUAAAAGCCCAAAAAGUCACGCAACAUCGCCGAUAAGUAAAGCAGUGUAAGCUGAAACAGAUUCGACCAAAAAUUUACUACUCAAAUUGUUCAGGAAAAUAUAAUAAUUUAAAAAAAUGUAUCUGAUACAGGUGAGCGAGCGAGCGUGCGUGCAGAUACUUAAGUAUUUGUAUACAUUUUGUGUAAUAUUCAUGAAAAUUAUCAUCCACUUUAUACAUAUCUACAAAUUUUAGCCACAACUCUGUAAUACUGCCAACAAAAACAAAAGAAAAAAAUGUUGGAUUUUUUUUUCACACUAAAACUAGUAAAUUUGUGAUUUGCUCACACAAAAUGAGACAACUCACAAUAACAACAACAGUCUGGUUUAUUUACAAAGUGGAGCUAUUGAAUAGCGAGUCUGAGGCCGUGGAAAGUUUUACUUUGAUUUACACAUAUUUAUCUUUAACGUACGCCUCUCCUUUAACCCCUAAAAAACUGCUACUGAAUUUUUCAUUAUUAGAGUCUGCACUAAAAGUCUGCUUCUAAUAGCUUCAUCAGGACGGGUGGCGUCGUGAUUUUUCAAUAAAAAAAAAAAAAAAGAAAUUGAAAACGCACAGCCCAAGAUCCGGCGCGUAAGAUGGAUGGUCUAACACUGGGUUGCUGUACUUGUUGUUGUAACAACAUAACACAUUGCGAAAAUGCUGCUGAUGUAACAGCCCUUGGCUGAACUUAAGGGGGGGAAACCGGUUUAGAUCGAUCAAAAAAUCGAGUUUUGUUUAUUGCAUAAAUCGUUAGUAUAACUACUCAAGAAUAUGUGGUAAAAAUUUUAAAGCGAAAUUCGCAUUAUUCCCGAUUCUAUGAGCACUUAAGUGACUGCCCGUCGGUUCCACACCGUAGCGCGCGUUAGUUAGAACGACGUUUUUCUCGAAACUACUUUUUUCAACUGGUGGGCAUUCUAGCUUAAAAAGUUAUCGACCAAUCGUUCUAAUAUUUUUCGGGAUUUCUUUUUAUUCAAUUCUAAUCUAUAUGAACCUAAUUCUAGGAUUAUAUUAUUAUUUAAAAUAUGGUUUUUUAAGCCAAAUAGAUGAAAAAUAUGGUUUAAAAAAACCAACUUUGUGUUCAAGCGCCUCAAAAGCAUGCAAUUUUCAAUAUUUUUUUACCACUAUUAGGUUGAUAUUUUUAGGAAAUAUGUUGUUAAUAAAAAAAAAACUUGCUGUUGAUUUCAGAGAAAAAUUGCAACUUCAGGAAUUUCCACCAGCAAGACACACGGAUGGUGAUCGUCCAUGGACAGCGCGCUCUAACGCCACUAUCUCCCGCGGAAAUAGCUUCAAAAAAAUUUAAAAGCAUACCUAAAAAUAUAAAUAAUAUAUCCUCUAAACUUAAACAAUUUCUGAUUAUUUCUUCUUUGUUAAACAAAUUCUCGAAAAACACCAAAAUUUUGGCCUCCUAAACCGGUUUCCCCCCUUAAGUUAUGUAAUUGCCCGGUAACAUAAGCGGCCUCCGAAUGCGUUGGUGCGUAACUGGCUUUCGUGAGUACGCCGUUUCGAAUCUCCGUGCAUGAAACAUCGAAAUGAUAAAAGAAGGUUUUUCCAAUAGCGGUCGCUCUUCGGCAGACUAAUCGCUGAAUGUCUGGUGUGAAAAAACUACUCUUAAAAAGUAUCUGCCGUUCAGAGGCGGACCUAAAACUCUAGGUUCUUCUAUUUGUUGAAAAACAUCAAAGCGCACACCACAAAAAUAGGGUGUAAGUUAAAAAUGAAGACAUCAAUUUAAAAAAAAAAAAAAAUGUAUUUUUAUUUUUAAACAUAGUUCCCUUUUAGAAAGGUAUAGUUUCUCCAACUUUCGGCCAUUUUUUGGACCCCUCCAAAAAGUAGGAUUUAUCGAACUCUCCAAAAUACGUCUCUGCCCUCGUUUGAACUAAUUUUUUUCCCGAGAGCCAUUUUCUUCGUGUUAGGAAACAAGAAAAAGUCGCGGUGAGCCAGAUCGGAUGAAAACAGGGGGUGCGGCAGCAAUUAAUAACACAAUUCAUGCAGUGUCUCCAUCAAUUUUUUGUGAAAGCGGUCCAAUAACUCACUGUAGUAUUGUCCAGUGAUUGUUCUUCCUUUUUCAUAAAAAGCCAUGUGGAUGACGCCGCCGCUAGCAUCCCAAAAAAUCGUCGCCAUGACCUUACCGGUCGAUGGGGUUGUCUUCGUCUUCUUUGGAGUAGAUUCACCGGGAGAAAUCCGUUGUUGCUUAGUUUCUAGUGUGUAAUGAUUAAUCCAGAUAUUCUCUAUUGUUACACUUAAUAUUAUUCAUGAUUCAUGACAAAAUUUGCAUUUUGUCAUAAAAACACGGUUAGUUUUCCACUAAGUCAAUUAAUUUUUCGACGUUCAUUUCUAAUAUUAAAAUUUUUUUUAGCGCAAAUAUCAAAACAAAUGGCAAGCAUUUCACCGCCGCUUACGGUUACGCAGAAAAACUAAAAUUCAGUAAAUAAUAUACAACUACAGUUAUUGCUUUGGCGCUAUGGUGCGUCACCUAUAAUCAUUUACAGUGAUGCCCAUAUGUUUUAUCUGAACAGCUGAUUGCUACGGUUACGGCUAAGGUAUGGCACCACUAAUUGCAGCUUAACCUCUGUAUGUUUAAAAGCGGGAAACUUUCAAGGCAGACAAAGAAAGAGGGAGAGACCCGAGACAGAAUGAGAGAGAGAGAGAGAAAGAAUAUAUAUCUAAGUAAAUUCACAACAUUUGCAGAGACUACAAAUAGACAAAAUUUACAAAAAAACAGAAAAGGUAAACGCCGGACACAAACCGUGGCAACAAUGCGCACUACUCCGAGCGUUUAUCACCCGUUCAAACGCAGCGAUUCCAGGACCGCAGCAACGGCACAAAUUACCGCAAGGCAAUACCAAUAAAUCCGACGCCGGAAUGGAUAGCACUUUAUAGUACGUACAAGUACUAGCCAGGAAACGGAAAUAAGCGCCAAAAAGUAGGCACACAAAAAAACCAUCAAGGAAAUACAAUGCCAAAAAGUAGGCACCAAAAAAAAAAGCCAAAAAAAUCGGGACUAAAAAACGUCCCAAACAGUAGGCACCAAGGAACCAUAACUCCAAAAAGUAGGCACCAAAAAUAUAUUUCCUACAAGUUUGCACCUACCAACAAGCGCCAAAAAGUAGGCAGUGUUAUAUCUCACUAGAAAUUAGCAACCACAAGGAAAAACUCAAAAAAAAUAACCUAAAAUGUAUCUAAGAUAUAUAUAAGGUAUAGCUCUCUCUCUCCUUUUCCUCUACGUAAUAUCUUUUUUCUCUCUCGCGGAACGCAAAUGCCAAAAACGUUGCAUGCCCUUGAAAUUUUACUCCCCAUUCUCGCUCGUCCAUCGACGCCUAAGAAGUUUCACUUCAAAAAGUUGAUUAAAUGACGACCAACUGAGCCUGACCUCUUUAUUAGUCAUCUACUCCGUUGAAUUCGUAAAUCCAUUCUAAAGCAGUAUCGAAAAUUAAUUGUUAAAAAAAAUCGAAAUUUUGAAAAAAAAAAUCUUUCGAUCAGGCACGAGUUUUUUAUGUUUUUCAAAAGCAAUAAAAAUUUUAUUGAAAUUUUGUUUUGAGAAAAACGUAUUUAAAAUUUUGCUAUCGAUUUCGGAGCGCCCGAGCGCCCUUUGUUAAUUAUUGAAUAACUCGAAAAGUAUUUGUCGGAUUCACUUCGAAUUUUCACACAAUAUUUUUAAGAUAUUAUACUUUACGAAAAUGCAAAAAACAUAAAAUUUUUUGAAAAUUCUGACUACCCCUAACCCCUUAAUGACCGAUUGGACACGGUGAGGAGCUGCGCAGCAAUUUUCACUGCAGAUAUCGUUGAGAUUUUUUUAUUCCAGUUUGUUUCUAUUUUAGUAUACUUACGUUUUCACAUCAAUUUUAAUUAAAUUUAUUUUAAUUUAAUUAAAUUUUAUUUGGUUGUUCUACAAAAUAUUUUUCAUCUUUUUUUUUGUUUAGGAGUUUUUACUUUUUAAAAUUUCGACAUGUUGAAUGUAUGAUAUUUAAAAAUAUGAACUUGAAUAAAAUGGCACACCCUUAUAUUUUUUUUCUUCAUUUUUCUUGCUAUCAUCCAAUAAUUUUUUUUUUGGAUUAAGUUCCCUUUCAUAAAAAC